GAUCCUGGCUCAGGAUGAACGCUAGCGGCAGGCUUAACACAUGCAAGUCGAGGGGUAUAGUUCUUCGGAACUAGAGACCGGCGCACGGGUGCGUAACGCGUAUGCAAUCUACCUUUCACAGAGGGAUAGCCCAGAGAAAUUUGGAUUAAUACCUCAUAGUAUUAUAGAGUGGCAUCACUUUAUAAUUAAAGUCACAACGGUGAAAGAUGAGCAUGCGUCCCAUUAGCUAGUUGGUAAGGUAACGGCUUACCAAGGCAACGAUGGGUAGGGGUCCUGAGAGGGAGAUCCCCCACACUGGUACUGAGACACGGACCAGACUCCUACGGGAGGCAGCAGUGAGGAAUAUUGGACAAUGGGCGCAAGCCUGAUCCAGCCAUGCCGCGUGCAGGAUGACGGUCCUAUGGAUUGUAAACUGCUUUUGUACAGGAAGAAACACUGGUUCGUGAACCAGCUUGACGGUACUGUAAGAAUAAGGAU
This 477-nucleotide ribosomal RNA is filed under the name Flavobacterium sp. WB3.4-82. RNAcentral describes it as "bacterial SSU rRNA". It matches the Rfam family "Bacterial small subunit ribosomal RNA", at positions 15 to 493 of the family's 1533-position model. Lineage: Bacteria; Pseudomonadati; Bacteroidota; Flavobacteriia; Flavobacteriales; Flavobacteriaceae. The record is from RNAcentral.